GUAGACCACCCUGAACGCGCCCGAUCUCGUCUGAUCUCGGAAGCUAAGCAGGGUCGGGCCUGGUUAGUACUUGGAUGGGGGACCAGAAUAUUCUGGUGACU
Molecule: ribosomal RNA, 101 nt
Filed under: Mustela putorius furo (domestic ferret)
Lineage: Eukaryota; Metazoa; Chordata; Mammalia; Carnivora; Mustelidae
Source: RNAcentral